UGAGUAACACGCGAGUGACCUGCCUUUUAGACUGGAACAACUUACCGAAAGGUGAGCUAAUGCCGGAUGAGUUAUAUAAGUGCAUGUUUAUAUAGGAAAAGUUGGGGAGACCUGACGCUGAAAGAUGGACUCGCGUCCCAUUAGCUAGUUGGUAGGGUAAUGGCCUACCAAGGCGACGAUGGGUAGCCGGCCUGAGAGGGUGGCCGGCCACACUGGGACUGAGACACGGCCCAGACUCCUACGGAAGGCAGCAG
RNAcentral lists this ribosomal RNA (254 nucleotides) under uncultured bacterium. Its description in RNAcentral is "partial 16S ribosomal RNA". It matches the Rfam family "Bacterial small subunit ribosomal RNA", at positions 107 to 354 of the family's 1533-position model. The record is from RNAcentral.